GUGAAUCAUCAAAUCUUUGAACGCAAAUUGCACUCUCCUCGGAGAGUAUGCCUGUUUGAGGGUCAGUAUUAAUAAAAAUCGGUGUGUUGCCUCUUUGUGACGCUCCGGAGUUUGGGUCAUCUUAAUAUCCUUUAGGUUUUAAGAGGCUUAAAAUUGACUUUUUUGCGCAUUUUAGACGUACAUAAAUUCUUUUUUUAAUUGUUUUGUUUUAUGCCUAAAAUUCUUAUAGAAUCCG
Molecule: unclassified non-coding RNA, 235 nt
Filed under: Rhizophagus sp. (in: glomeromycetes)
Lineage: Eukaryota; Fungi; Glomeromycota; Glomeromycetes; Glomerales; Glomeraceae
Description: partial contains 5.8S ribosomal RNA and internal transcribed spacer 2
Rfam family: 5.8S ribosomal RNA (bases 1-65)
Source: RNAcentral